CAGAGUUGAUCCCUGGCUCAGAUUGAACGCUGGCGGCAGGCCUAACACAUGCAAGUCGAGCGGUAGAGAGAAGCUUGUUUCUCUGGAGAGCGGCGGACGGGUGAGUAAUGCCUAGGAAUCUGCCUGGUAGUGGGGGAUAACGUUCGGAAACAUACGCUAAUACCGCAUACGUCCUACGGGAGAAAGCAGGGGACCUUCGGGCCUUGCGCUAUCAGAUGAGCCUAGGUCGGAUUAGCUAGUUGGUGAGGUAAUGGCUCACCAAGGCGACGAUCCGUARCUGGUCUGAGAGGAUGAUCAGUCACACUGGAACUGAGACACGGUCCAGACUCCUACGGGAGGCAGCAGUGGGGAAUAUUGGACAAUGGGCGCAAGCCUGAUCCAGCCAUGCCGCGUGUGUGAAGAAGGUCUUCGGAUUGUAAAGCACUUUAAGUUGGGAGGAAGGGUUGUAGAUUAAUACUCGGCAAUUAUGACGUUACCGACAGAAUAAGCACCGGCUAACUCUGUGCCAGCAGCCGCGGUAAUACAGAGGGUGCAAGCGUUAAUCGGAAUUACUGGGCGUAAAGCGCGCGUAGGUGGUUUGUUAAGUCGGAUGUGAAAUCCCCGGGCUCAACCUGGGAACUGCAUUCAAAACUGCCUGACUAGAGUAUGGUAGAGGGUGGUGGAAUUUCCUGUGUAGCGGUGAAAUGCGUAAUAUAGGAAGGAACACCAGUGGCGAAGGCGACCACCUGGACUAAUACUGACACUGAG
RNAcentral lists this ribosomal RNA (747 nucleotides) under bacterium ER-Te-43. RNAcentral's name for it is "bacterial SSU rRNA". It matches the Rfam family "Bacterial small subunit ribosomal RNA", at positions 8 to 750 of the family's 1533-position model. The record is from RNAcentral.